GACGAACGCUGGCGGCGUGCCUAAUACAUGCAAGUUGAGCGAUGAAGAUUGGUGCUUGCACCAAUUUGAAGAGCAGCGAACGGGGGAGUAACGCGUGGGGAAUCUGCCUUUGAGCGGGGGACAACAUUUGGAAACGAAUGCUAAUACCGCAUAACAACUUUAAACAUAAGUUUUAAGUUUGAAAGAUGCAAUUGCAUCACUCAAAGAUGAUCCCGCGUUGUAUUAGCUAGUUGGUGAGGUAAAGGCUCACCAAGGCGAUGAUACAUAGCCGACCUGAGAGGGUGAACGGCCACAUUGGGACUGAGACACGGCCCAAACUCCUACGGGAGGCAGCAGUAGGGAAUCUUCGGCCAUGGACGAAAGUCUGGCCGAGCAACGCCGCGUGAGUGAAGAAGGUUUUCGGAUCGUAAAACUCUGUUGGUAGAGAAGAACGUUGGUGAGAGUGGAAAGCUCAUCAAGUGACGGUAACUACACAGAAAGGGACGGCUAACUACGUG
This 497-nucleotide ribosomal RNA is filed under the name uncultured bacterium. RNAcentral's name for it is "partial 16S ribosomal RNA". It matches the Rfam family "Bacterial small subunit ribosomal RNA", at positions 28 to 507 of the family's 1533-position model. The record is from RNAcentral.